AACGAACGCUGGCGGCAGGCUUAACACAUGCAAGUCGAACGGUUGUAGCAAUACAGCAGUGGCAGACGGGUGAGUAACACGUGGGAACCUUCCUAGGGGUACGGAACAACUCAGGGAAACUUGAGCUAAUACCGUAUACGUCCGUGAGGAGAAAGAUUUAUCGCCCUUAGACGGGCCCGCGUAGGAUUAAGUAGUUGGUGGGGUAAUGGCCUACCAAGCCUACGAUCCUUAGCUGAUCUGAGAGGAUGAUCAGCCACACUGGGACUGAGACACGGCCCAGACUCCUACGGGGGCGA
Molecule: ribosomal RNA, 296 nt
Filed under: uncultured bacterium
Lineage: Bacteria
Description: partial 16S ribosomal RNA
Rfam family: Bacterial small subunit ribosomal RNA
Source: RNAcentral